GGCGAGUGAAGUGGGAAAAGCUCAACUUUAAAAUCUGGCAGCUUCGCUGUCCGAGUUGUAGUCUCGAGAAGUGUUUUCCGCGCUGGAUCGUGUAUGAGUCUGUUGGAAUACAGCGUCAUAGAGGGUGAGAACCCCGUUCAUGACACGACUACCAGUGCUUUGUGAUACACUUUCGAUGAGUCGAGUUGUUUGGGAAUGCAGCUCAAAAUGGGUGGUAAAUUCCAUCUAAAGCUAAAUAUUGGCGAGAGACCGAUAGCAAACAAGUACCGUGAGGGAAAGAUGAAAAGCACUUUGGAAAGAGAGUUAACAGUACGUGAAAUUGUCGAAAGGGAAACGCUUGAAGUCAGACGUGCGCGGUGCGAUUCAGCCUUGGUUCGCCAGGGUGUACUUCGUACCAUUGCAGGCCAGCAUCGGUUUUGUGAGCCGGAUAAAGGUUAGAGGAAGGUAGCGGUCCAGGCCGUGUUAUAGCCUCUAACUGAAUACGGAUUGUGAGACCGAGGGACGCAGCGCGCCGCAAGGCAAAGGGUCCGCCCUUUU
This 537-nucleotide ribosomal RNA is filed under the name Symmetrospora oryzicola. RNAcentral describes it as "LSU rRNA". It matches the Rfam family "Eukaryotic large subunit ribosomal RNA", at positions 88 to 611 of the family's 3401-position model. The record is from RNAcentral. Lineage: Eukaryota; Fungi; Basidiomycota; Cystobasidiomycetes; Symmetrosporaceae.